GAUGAACGCUGGCGGCGUGCCUAAUACAUGCAAGUCGAGCGAACAGACGAGGAGCUUGCUCCUCUGACGUUAGCGGCGGACGGGUGAGUAACACGUGGAUAACCUACCUAUAAGACUGGGAUAACUUCGGGAAACCGGAGCUAAUACCGGAUAAUAUAUUGAACCGCAUGGUUCAAUAGUGAAAGACGGUUUUGCUGUCACUUAUAGAUGGAUCCGCGCCGCAUUAGCUAGUUGGUAAGGUGACGGCUUACCAAGGCAACGAUGCGUAGCCGACCUGAGAGGGUGAUCGGCCACACUGGAACUGAGACACGGUCCAGACUCCUACGGGAGGCAGCAGUAGGGAAUCUUCCGCAAAGGGCGAAAGCUUGACGGAGCAACGCCGCGUGAGUGAUGAAGGUCUUCGGAUCGUAAAACUCUGUUAUUAGGGAAGAACAAAUGUGUAAGUAACUAUGCACGUCUUGACGGUACCUAAUCAGAAAGCCACGGCUAACUACGUG
Molecule: ribosomal RNA, 497 nt
Filed under: uncultured bacterium
Lineage: Bacteria
Description: partial 16S ribosomal RNA
Rfam family: Bacterial small subunit ribosomal RNA
Source: RNAcentral